AUCAACUUUCGAUGGUAGGAUAGAGGCCUACCAUGGUGGUAACGGGUAACGGGGUGUUAGGGCACGACACCGGAGAGGGAGCCUGAGAAACGGCUACCACAUCCAAGGAUGGCAGCAGGCGCGCAAAUUACCCAAUCCCGACACGGGGAGGUAGUGACAAUAAAUAACAAUACGGGGUUCUUUCGGAUCUCGUAAUUGGAAUGAGUACAAUUUAAAUCUCUUAACGAGGAACAAUUGGAGGGCAAGUCUGGUGCCAGCAGCCGCGGUAAUUCCAGCUCCAAUAGCGUAUAUUAAAGUUGUUGCAGUUAAAAAGCUCGUAGUUGAAUUUCGGGGUCAGCAGGUUGGUCGUGCCAAUGGUAUGCACUGGCCUUGCUGAUUCCUCCCUCUUGAUGAGCCGUAAUGCCAUUAAUUUGGUGUUGCGGGGAAUCAGGACUGUUACUUUGAAAAAAUUAGAGUGUUUAAAGCAGGCAAGCGCUUGAAUACAUUAGCAUGGGAUAAUGAAAUAGGACGUUUAAUCCUAUUUUGUUGGUUUCUAGGAUUGACGUAAUGAUUAAUAGGGAUAGUUGGGGGCAUUGGUAUUCAAUUGUCAGAGGUGAAAUUCUUGGAUUUAUUGAAGACUAACUACUGCGAAAGCAUUUGCCAAGGAUGUUUUCAUUAAUCAAGAACGAAAGUUAGGGGAUCGAAGACGAUCAGAUACCGUCGUAGUCUUAACCAUAAACUAUGCCGACUAGGGAUCGGAUGAUGUUAAUUUUUUAAUGACUCAUUCGGCGCCUUACGGGAAACCAAAGUGUUUGGGU
RNAcentral lists this ribosomal RNA (797 nucleotides) under uncultured Glomus. Its description in RNAcentral is "SSU rRNA". It matches the Rfam family "Eukaryotic small subunit ribosomal RNA", at positions 314 to 1112 of the family's 1831-position model. The record is from RNAcentral. Lineage: Eukaryota; Fungi; Glomeromycota; Glomeromycetes; Glomerales; Glomeraceae.